UGGGGAAUAUUGGACAAUGGGCGCAAGCCUGAUCCAGCCAUGCCGCGCGAGUGAUGAAGGCCCUAGGGUUGUAAAGCUCUUUCACCGGUGAAGAUAAUGACGGUAACCGGAGAAGAAGCCCCGGCUAACUUCGUGCCAGCAGCCGCGGUAAUACGAAGGGGGCUAGCGUUGUUCGGAUUUACUGGGCGUAAAGCGCACGUAGGCGGACUAUUAAGUCAGGGGUGAAAUCCCGGGGCUCAACCCCGGAACUGCCUUUGAUACUGGUAGUCUUGAGUUCGAGAGAGGUGAGUGGAAUUCCGAGUGUAGAGGUGAAAUUCGUAGAUAUUCGGAGGAACACCAGUGGCGAAGGCGGCUCACUGGCUCGGUACUGACGCUGAGGUGCGAAAGCGUGGGGAGCAAACAGG
This 404-nucleotide ribosomal RNA is filed under the name Actinomycetes bacterium. RNAcentral describes it as "Actinobacteria bacterium partial 16S ribosomal RNA". It matches the Rfam family "Bacterial small subunit ribosomal RNA", at positions 355 to 776 of the family's 1533-position model. Lineage: Bacteria; Bacillati; Actinomycetota; Actinomycetes. The record is from RNAcentral.